Molecule: unclassified non-coding RNA, 148 nt
Filed under: uncultured Ascomycota
Lineage: Eukaryota; Fungi; Ascomycota
Description: sequence contains ITS2
Source: RNAcentral
CAACCCUCAAGCUCUGCUUGGUAUUGGGUGUCAUCACUGUGAUGCAUCUUAAAAAUAUUCACAGUGGCAUCUAGCUCCUUGGCGUAGUAAUGUCCUCACUAUUGGAGUUUAGGUGUCUGACUGUUAGAACCUCUUAAAUCUAUCACAA